GCAGUUCACCCCGGACUGCACUGCACUGAGUUUGACGGUUAAACGCUGAUUAUCUGUUACGUUACACAUGUCACUCAGUUGUCAUGCUGUUGAACGCUGAUUGGCUGUCAUCACGACAAAAACUUGUCGCCGUUUUUCCCUCGCGAAAAAUUCGCCCGAUACGCGUCUCUACGUUCACUUUGAAUGGGAUCUUGUCGCCCCAUCGCGUUUGGUGUGAACGCACAAUGCGCUUCUUCCUCGGCGGCGCCAUGUUUGCUGCGUUCUGAACCAAAUCAAAGCAGCGUGUGUGUGACGUCAUGACGCAUUUGCCGUGACCGGAACCGAUAAGCGGAAUCGUAAAGCAGGCUUGCUAAUGAUUCCAAGGAAUCGGUUGACAAGGCACCGGUUCUGAACAAGAACCGGUUCUCGAUUCCCAUCCCUAGUUGUGACUGUCUGAGUUUGUGAUAUGAGUCUACAGUCUCGUAUUUAUAAACAUGUUUCAUGUAUUUAUGUUUUUUACAUGUUGUGACAGUGCCUCAGUUUGUGAUUGGAGUCAAUGUUCUAGUAUUAUCUUUGUUCUAUCUAUAGUCUUUGUUCUAUGUUCCCACUCUUGGCCUACGACUUGACGUGGUGAGUAGGCUUUAAACUAAGACAUGCCUUUUAUAUUUUUGGUUUGGUUCAGUCUAUCUUAUAAAUGUUACCAAGCCUUAAUUAAACCCCUUGUCUUCGGUUUGCAGAAACUCGAAACUUCAGAGUAUAUUUUAUCUUAAGGUAGAUAAUCUUUUUUGUUUCCUCAUCAGAUCCCAGUCCGUCAUGCUCCUCUACUUGUCGGCCGUGCCACCAUCAUGCAUCACUUCUCAGCGCCCUGCCCAGCUGGAUCUUAUUCCGUUACUCCAGCUCUUUCAUAAAAGUGACAAAUAUAAAGACAUACAGCCCUACCGGUAAUCCCUGCUUUUCCUCCUCCUUCCUCCUCACCACCUGCACUGGCUGUCAUCCAUGGGGUCCCAACUUUCAGCCGCACAGCCAUUCGUCUCUGGAACUCUCCCACAUUCCAUCCGUGACACUGACUCUAUCUCCCCACAAUCCAAUCAGGCGCUUCACAACCUGCUGAUUGGUGCUAGCACCAAUGCGCUCAGUGGCGCCAUCUGGUGGAAAUAGGUGGUACAGCGCCUCAACCACCUGCCCCCUGGACCUUCAGGGAUGCUGGGCCGGAGCUGGGUUGCCAUGAUACAUUGGUAACCUGGAAAUAAUUGGUGUCUGACCCUUGUAGUCCCACCACUGGGUCCCCCAGGGUCCUGUUCCUGGAACCUGCCUCAGAGGAGCCCGUCGUCGGCAGUCCUAGUACUUGCAUAGUCAAAUGCCAUGUCAGAGGUGCACUUCACAUAUUUGGUGAACACCCCAGCCGGCGUUAGCCCAGAGGGAAACGACCAACACUUGAACCCUUGACCUCUAAAAGAGAAAUGGGGCUAUUUCCUGUGAUGGGGGGGGGGGGGGGAAUUAGAAUGAGGAUUUAAACGUCAUUCAUAUCCAACUGCACAAACCAUUCUGAAUCGAACCCAGCAGCUGUGUGGUUGACAUUUGAAAUUUGAUUUUCGUUAGAGAACCGUUGACACCAGCUUCCUUCUCUUUUAGGUGCUACAAAGUACCUGCUGUGCGGGACUUUCUGAACUGACACCUUUUCACUGCCCCUUUUAUGAACACAACAUCCCUAAGAGGCCCGUUUCGAAAAUAGAUCAAGAGAGAAACCCGAUAGAGAAGAGCAAGGGACAUAUAAGGUGCAUCCAGGAUGUCAAUCUCCCGGCUAGGCAAUUGUUUCAAUAUGUUACCCUGAAAGGAAAAAGCUUUCACUGCACAUAUGGCGUUUUUGUAUUAUAUUUUUUUAAUUAAGACAUUCCUUUUUUCAACUUCAAUCUGUUACUUCGUCUGCAUUUGGGUCCUCACUUCAAACCCUAUCAGUAUUAAAGGAGAGAUGAGCUAGCAGUACAAAGUCAUGUUUGUAGAUAAAUAAUAAAUAAAAUCACCUUUUUAUAUUUUAAUACAUACUUUGUUAUGUUUUGGUUGUUUAGAUGGAUUAAUUACCUCUGAAACUUUACUUUCAGUUUGUUCUUAUUUCCACACACUAUCUUAACUGCAACAUAAAGAACCAUUGUAAAUAACAUAGUAUGACUUUUUGGUUUAUCCUUUGAAAGCCACUGCUGCCACAACACUUAAUUAUUGCAGUAGUUUAAAUUUAUGACAGAGGGCUUCCAUUAUUUCCAAACCCAUACUGUCUGUAAGCAGGCGUGCCUGUGCUUCAAAACUCUUUGAUCUGAUCUAUAAAUAUAAUAAUAAACGCAUCCUGAAACAGUUAAUGUUAGUUUAAUUUGUAUUUUAUUAAAGAGUUUAAUAUCUUUGGAUUAACUUUUUGUAAUUUGGUCAGAAAGUCCAAUGUGAAUCUUUCAACUUCUAUUGAAGCAACAAUUUGUCCUGCAGGUGGCACUAACUGACUGCUUUGGAGGUUUUUGUGUAUAAACUACAACACCAUUUCAGUUAAAGGGAACAGGCAAUAUUCUCUUGACUCCCGUCUGGGAGAGAGAAUAUAUGGAUAUUCACUGUAUAACUCAAAUAAAUAAAUAAAAUGUAACCUCAUAUUAUCCUCAAGACGAGACAUGCUGCCCAGAUGAUGUGUAUAUUCUGGGAUUUUAGGAAAUGUGAAAUGCGACUAGCGUAGCCAUUUGAAGGCCAAGUGCCUUAUCUUGGUCCAAGCAAUGUUUUUUUUUUUCUCAGACUGAAGCAAACGUCCUUGAGUUUCUGUCUUUUUAGAGAUAGUGUCCAUUUCGGGCUACAUUAUGUAUGUAUAGGCUUGUAUCAAGGACAAAGGGCACCACUCUUGCUAUGCUUAAGGGUAAAGCAAGUGCUAUCUCAUCCAUCCAUAAUAGAUAUACCAUACACUAGAUGACAUGUAUUAUUAUCGGUAAUCAUUGCCUUGUUCUGUUUAUAUCCAUAGGAAAACUGUGAUUGAACUGCCACAGCUUACUAUUAAGGUAAAUAUUAGAAGUAAACGUAAUUUCCAAACUAUCUCCCAUGGUUUGUCAAUAGGUCAACAAAAGUAUAGUAGUAAAAAACUUGGAAGCUUGAAAAGUAAGAAAUCAUGUCACAUCCUCUGGUUUUCAUAAUUUGUUUACUUCUCUAUGUGUGUGUGUGUGUGUGUGUGUGUGUGUGUGUGUGUGUGUGUAUGUGUAUAUAUAUAUAUAUAUAUAUAUAUAUAUAUAUAUAUAGUAAAUUUCAGGAUUUUUGUCACUGUUCUGCACCCAUUUCCAGAAAGCUACCAUUUCUAAACAGUCCCUUCACGCCCAGAGCAAUUGGCGACGGCAUUAUUUCAACAGCCAUUGUGUUCGCACACAAAAUUAAUUUAGCAAAAAACGAAUUAUAAUUUUCUGACGCCAUAUUGCACUAUUCUCUGUAGGCAGCAAUGAGCAUUGUUCAGUUGCUUUGAUAGUUAUUCAUUGCGUAAAUAAUUGCAUACAAAAUAGUAUUAUUAGUAGUAGUAAUCACAAUGAGCAUUGCCUGUUGGAUGCACAAUUCAACACCUUGUAUUACUAUGCUCAGGGGACAAACAGGGAAUUUACAUACCUACCCUUGGCUGAGUGCUUUAUAUGUAUUAGUCUGUAUCACCGGUAGGCCUAGACCACAAUUUUAUUCAAUUAUAUGGUGGAAAUAUUGGCAAUUUUCACUAUAUAUACAUUGGAAGCAAACCUCUGAGUGUAUGUAUAUACACUGGAAGCAAACCUCUGAGUGUAUGUUUUAACGAAAGCAUGGCCAUGGGAAGAAGCAGUGACAUACAUACACAGAGUGUAUAAUCCUGCAUGUUCUAAAAGGAAAGCUUGACCCUUUUAUAGUACAAGGAAAGAAAACGCCAACAGUGAUGGAGGUGAAUUGGUCAAACAGAAAGCCAUUAGGAAGUCGGAUCCCAGCAUGAGGUUUAGUAAUGAAAAACUAACAGAGGGAAGUGUUGAAUGCUUUCUACGAUACAAGAUUAAUUCAGGAAGUGAACUGGAACAAAUGAGAAUCUGCUUCAAAGCAUGCUUGAAUUGGGAAGGGCAUCAACAUGGGCAAAUGGUGACCCUCAAACAAAGAUCAGAGUCAACACUCGCUGCAUCCGGACUCGUCAUAGUUAAAUGAGCAAUAAUAAGAGACCAACAAUAGCAGCCAUCCACAAAUACAGAACUCUUGUUUAACACUGACAUUGAAACAACGUAUUGAGGAUUGAAUACUGGAAGUGAAACUUUAAUCAAUAUACCUCUGGCAUGGCAUUAUAUAUAUUUUUCUCUACAAAAGGGCAAUACAAUCAUAAUACAAAAGCUACCGGAGGCUGGGAAGUUUGAGUUUGAGAAUUGUGAGCGAAAGGUUCUUUCCAUAUUGAAAACAAGAUAAGACAGGAAUAUUAUUCCAUCUUUGACUAUUUGUCACUUUUCAUUUGUAUAAGAUAUUUACACAUGCAGCUGAAUGUGUAUACAUUUAUCAGUUUUCAGUAGUCAUUGAAUAUGCCAGAAUCAUAUAGGAUACAUACAUACCGUUAUAUAUUCGUGUUUAAGUAAUCAGGUGUGGGUGUGAUGCAUCCCAUUCCCAACAAGGACCUGCUCACACACUUAUACACGCUUUAACUUAUUUUUCAAUUUGUUGAGGCCUGUGGACUGUUAUCUGGAUAGCACAGCUAUAUUUACACAUAGACACAAACAAAAAACACAACACGCAUGAUAACGUUACCCAAUCACUGUUCCUAUGUUCAGGUUUAUCUGGCUGUGGAUUCACUUCCUCCGGCAGUCCUUUUUUCCACCUCCCACUGCUACAUCUCACGCAUGCAUGCCAAAUGCGGUGCAUUUUUAAUCAACCGCCACCAAGGAGUUUAGGGUAAGAUAGAGAAACUACUUGUAGACCUGUAAUGUUCAAAAGGCUUACACAUAAGACGCUUAGUUUAUUUUACCAUAAAGCCUUUAGGACAUUUGUAACUACAUGUGGGGUAUAUGGUUGUAUUGACAUUAAUACAGUGAAAUCGAACAAUCACCAACAGUGUUCUCUGUCGGAAAGAUGCAGAGAACACGGUCUACAUUUAUGGUUUCAAAAAUGGUUGUAAUAAGUGUGUCAUUCUCGCAGCACGGCGGGGGUAUUAGCAGCUGCUACUGAGUUAUUGACAAAGACUGAAGUGUGCUAAUCGACUUGUGUCGCUUAUUACUAGUCAAGCCUCGUCGAUCAGGAAGUCUGGUUGUCUUUAUUUUAUUUAUUUAUUCCACCAUAUGCAUGUUCUAUUUUGUCUGACAUUUUAAUGUUUCAUUAGAACAGGACAUUACCGUUUCAAAAGCAUUUAUCGUCCGCAUUACAAUUGUCUCCUUUUACGUUGAUCCACUUUCAUGUCGGAUCUGUAAAGAUUCUAUUUCCCUUCCCUAUUUUCCUGGCACAGGCUACCUGAAGAGAAAAUGAAACUAGCUUAAUGCCAAUGUCACUAACAACCUAAUAAAGAACUAUGGGAGUCAAAGAAACCUCCCCGAGCGUGUUUAAGUUUGUCUCGGAUAAGCUUCAAAUAACAUACAGAUUUUACAUGGAACAAAAACUGUAAUAUCAAAGACAGUAGUCGUAAACUUAAAUUAUUACGGGAUUAUCACCCAAGCACACUAUGCAGCCCUUUUUUGAAGCGGUAUAAAUAUGGUUGCAUGGUGCACCAUGGGAAAUCAAACCCACUCAAGCUUCAUUUACGGGUAAGGGAAGAGGAAUUCUAAGAAAAGGCCACAACACCUAAGUAAAAUCAAUACACCCGGUUAAUAGAAAUCAGCAACUAGUUCCCUUACCCUGUGUUCAGCGCUAUUGCCAUUAGCCCAGCAGUCACCCUUGCACUAUAACUUGGAAUAGAUUAGCGUAAAUGUGCUGUGACAAGUUGGCACAGUGCUGUGCCUCACAGAACAUAAUUCCUAGCUGGGGAACCAUUCUGUGUGGAUACUUUACUCUCCCAGUGCACCCUCCUGGUGGUGUCCUUGAGCAAGGCCCUGGCAUCAGGACUGGAGUCGGUCCCACUGGCAGCGCGUUGUUGCUUCCCUCUACUCCUAGAAAUGGAACCUCGGCCCCAAUGGGAAAAAUAAAUACAAACUAACUCAACAGCUAUCCCAAACACAUUCCUAGAUACGCCAUUUACAAUUACAGUGAGCAGACAUGGUGCAGUUUGACUCAGCCAGUAAAUCAUGGCCAAGAGAAAUAUGGCUUCUUUCACACAUUGCUAAAUCUAUCCUUUUCUUUUUUUCAUUCACAAUGUGUCAACAAACACAUUAUAACUAUACCACCCACUGUACCGCUGUUACAAAUUUUUUAAAUUGUCUGUUUGGGCCAAAUGUUAUAUUCUGUAAUUCGGUGAUAUUCUGACUGUAAGGUAAGGUAACAGCCGUACAGGAAAAAGAUUCAGAAGGAAGACAUACAACUAUCAUUGAUGCACUUUGAGGUCGAGCGCGACACCAGAAGUAGUAGACACCGGUCUAGCCAGUAGUAAUCGGUAAGGGAUUACUAUUUUAGACCCAAGGGCCUUUCCGCAGAUUGUCUAGCAUGAUUCUAGAGUUGAGACACAAUUAUAUCCGCAGAUUGUACAGCAUGAUUCUAAAGUUUAGACGCUAUUAUAUCCCCAGAUAGUGUGGCAUGAUUCCAGAGUUUAGACACCAUUAUAUGAACAGAUUGUCCAGCAUGAUUUUAGAAUUUGGACACCAUUAUAUCCAUAGCU
Gadus macrocephalus (Pacific cod) is the source of this 6715-nucleotide long non-coding RNA. RefSeq lists it as uncharacterized. Lineage: Eukaryota; Metazoa; Chordata; Actinopteri; Gadiformes; Gadidae. The record is from RefSeq and is a predicted model, not a curated record. The transcript has 4 exons.